Molecule: long non-coding RNA, 332 nt
Filed under: Bos taurus (domestic cattle)
Lineage: Eukaryota; Metazoa; Chordata; Mammalia; Artiodactyla; Bovidae
Description: long non-coding RNA NONBTAT024632
Source: RNAcentral
CUUAUGGACACCAAAUUAAAAUUUUUUCAUCAGGUUUGUUACACUAGGAAGGGUGGAAAUCACUGCUGGAAGAAUGAAGGAAACUGGGCUCGUUAGACUACUUCUAAAUAAUAUUUGCUGGGGAGUGGUUUCUAAUUUUACGAAGCUUGUUUUUCAGGGAGCUUGGUCCUGAGUGGGCUGGAAUUGGUGGUACUAGAAUGGCUUGCAUUAAUCCAUCUCUCCACCCUCCUCUUUGCCCUGGAACCCAUCACUACCGUAUCAUGUGAUAGAUUGCCUUUUGUCAUUUUUCACAAUUUAGCUGAAGAUUGCCAGGUAGGAUGACAACUGGAGUA